Molecule: ribosomal RNA, 327 nt
Filed under: uncultured bacterium
Lineage: Bacteria
Description: bacterial SSU rRNA
Rfam family: Bacterial small subunit ribosomal RNA
Source: RNAcentral
UGAGGAAUCUUCGGCAAUGGGGGCAACCCUGACCGAGCGACGCCGCGUGCGGGACGAAGCGUUUCGGCGUGUAAACCGCUUUUCUGGGGGACGAGACAGGACGGUACCCCAGGAAGAAGCCUCGGCUAACUACGUGCCAGCAGCCGCGGUAAUACGUAGGAGGCGAGCGUUGUCCGGAGUUACUGGGCGUAAAGCGUGUGCAGGCGGCUCGAUGCGUCUGAGGUGAAAUCUCCCGGCUCAACUGGGAGGGGGCAGCGGAUACGGUCGGGCUUGAGGACUGGAGAGGGAAGUAGAACUCCCGGUGGAGCAGUGAAAUGUGUAGAGAUC